This 400-nucleotide ribosomal RNA is filed under the name uncultured bacterium. Its description in RNAcentral is "bacterial SSU rRNA". It matches the Rfam family "Bacterial small subunit ribosomal RNA", at positions 356 to 773 of the family's 1533-position model. The record is from RNAcentral.
GGGGAAUAUUGGACAAUGGGGGCAACCCUGAUCCAGCCAUGCCGCGUGAGUGAUGAAGGCCUUAGGGUUGUAAAGCUCUUUCGCCGGGGAAGAUAAUGACGGUACCCGGAGAAGAAGCCUCGGCUAACUCCGUGCCAGCAGCCGCGGUAAGACGGAGGAGGCUAGCGUUGUUCGGAAUUACUGGGCGUAAAGCGUACGCAGGUGGCGAAGCAAGUCGGAUGUGAAAGCCCGGGGCUCAACCCCGGAUGUGCAUCCGAUACUGUUUUGCUGGAGUCCGGGAGAGGAGAGCGGAAUUCCCAGUGUAGAGGUGAAAUUCGUAGAUAUUGGGAAGAACACCGGUGGCGAAGGCGGCUCUCUGGUCCGGUACUGACACUCAAGUACGAAAGCGUGGAGAGCAAAC